RNAcentral lists this long non-coding RNA (351 nucleotides) under Triticum aestivum (bread wheat). RNAcentral describes it as "long non-coding RNA (TAES_LNC011833)". The record is from RNAcentral. Lineage: Eukaryota; Viridiplantae; Streptophyta; Magnoliopsida; Poales; Poaceae.
GGUGGCUCCAAUGACCAACGUGGGUGCACGAAAUGGAAUUCAAACCGCGGUACGCGCAUGAAAAUGGGAUGCAGAUGGCGUCGAUGAAGUUGAAGAAGGAAGACAUGUGAAACGGGUGAAGAAAGGCCAACAUGAGGUAAUUCUAAAAGUAGAAACAGUAGAGGCAGGGGGUUAGGUAGUUGCAUCUCAAUAUAGAUGGAUUUGCUCAAUCCAGGUCAGUAGUUGCUGAAUAAACAGGGGAAAUAUGGAUGUCAUUGCAGGCACAUCCAAGAUGAAUAUGGUUUUUGAAAUCAUAGAUGGUUUUCCUUUCUAGGUGGUUGUCGACGGAGUUGUCAUCCUUAAACGAACUCC